Molecule: non-coding RNA, 511 nt
Organism: Streptomyces griseofuscus
Lineage: Bacteria; Bacillati; Actinomycetota; Actinomycetes; Kitasatosporales; Streptomycetaceae
Source: Rfam
GCGGUGGCCGUGUAGGCGUGGCGGGAGUCGCCGUCCAGGAGGGCUUCCUCGCCGAAGUGCUCGCCGUCCGCGAGGACCGCGAGGGCGACUUCCGCGCCGUACUGGCCGUGGCCGGUCUGGCUGACCCGGCCGUGGGCGAUCAUAUGGAUGCGGUCGGCGGGCGUGCCGCGUUCGACGAGGACCUCGCCGGCGGCGAAGUCGCGCUGGGUGCAGCGGUCGGCGAGGGCGGUGAGGGCGUCGAGGUCCUCGAAGCCCCGCAGCAGGGCCAGUUCACCGAGUUCGCGGGGGAUCACCCGGACCGCGGCACCCUCUUGGACGAACUCGAUGCGUCCGUCGCCCAGGGUGUGGCGCAGCCGCCGGUUGACCCGGUAGGCGCCGCCCUUGGUCUCGACCCAGGGGAGCAUCCGCAGCAACCAGCGGGAGGUGAUCUCCUGCAUCUGCGGGGCGGACUUGGUGGUGGUGGCGAGGUUGCGGGCGGCGGCGGUGCUCAGGGACUGCUGCGGUGCGGCCG